Molecule: unclassified non-coding RNA, 237 nt
Filed under: uncultured fungus
Lineage: Eukaryota; Fungi
Description: sequence contains ITS1, 5.8S rRNA gene
Rfam family: 5.8S ribosomal RNA (bases 189-237)
Source: RNAcentral
UCUCCGUAGGUGAACCUGCGGAGGGAUCAUUACCGAGAGAGGGUGCUCUGCGCGCCCGACCUCCCAACCCUUUGAUGACUUACCGCGUUGCCUCGGCAGAAGUUAUAGGUCUUCUUAUAGCUGCUGCCGGUGGACCAUUAAACUCUUGUUAUUUUAUGUAAUCUGAGCGUCUUAUUUUAAUAAGUCAAAACUUUCAACAACGGAUCUCUUGGUUCUGGCAUCGAUGAAGAACGCAGC